Molecule: ribosomal RNA, 440 nt
Filed under: uncultured bacterium
Lineage: Bacteria
Description: partial 16S ribosomal RNA
Rfam family: Bacterial small subunit ribosomal RNA
Source: RNAcentral
CCUACGUGUGGCAGCAGUGAGGAAUAUUGGGCAAUGGGGGCAAGCCUGACCCAGCCAUGCCGCGUGCGUGAAGAAGGUCUUCGGAUUGUUACGCUCUUUUGGACGUGUCGAUGAUGAAGGUAGCGUAUACAGAAGCACCGGCACACUUCGUGCAAGCAGCCGCGGUAAUACGAAGGGAGCGAGCGUUGUUCGGAAUUACUGGGCGUAAAGGGAGUGUAGGCGGAUAUGUAAGAUAGCGGUGAAAUGCCUGGGCUCAACCCCGGAACUGCCAUUAUGACUAUGUAUCUAGAGUAAUGGAGAGGAUAGCGGAAUACCCAGUGUAGAGGUGAAAUGCUUAGAUAUUGGGUAGAACACCGGUGGCGAAGGCGGCUAUCUGGCCAUUUACUGACGCUGAGGCUCGAAAGCAUGGGGAUCAAACAGGAUUAGAUACCCGAGUAGUC